RNAcentral lists this ribosomal RNA (467 nucleotides) under uncultured bacterium. RNAcentral's name for it is "bacterial SSU rRNA". It matches the Rfam family "Bacterial small subunit ribosomal RNA", at positions 328 to 792 of the family's 1533-position model. The record is from RNAcentral.
UCUCCAGACUCCUACGGGAGGCAGCAGUGAGGAAUAUUGGUCAAUGGGCUUACGCCUGAACCAGCCAAGUCGCGUGAGGGAAGACUGCCCUAUGGGUUGUAAACCUCUUUUGUCAGGGAGCAAUUGGCGCUACGUGUAGCGUUAUCGAGAGUACCUGAAGAAAAAGCAUCGGCUAACUCCGUGCCAGCAGCCGCGGUAAUACGGAGGAUGCGAGCGUUAUCCGGAUUUAUUGGGUUUAAAGGGUGCGCAGGCGGAAGAUCAAGUCAGCGGUAAAAUUGAGAGGCUCAACCUCUGCGAGCCGUUGAAACUGGUUUUCUUGAGUGAGUGAGAAGUAUGCGGAAUGCGUGGUGUAGCGGUGAAAUGCAUAGAUAUCACGAAGAACCCCGAUUGCGAAGGCAGCAUACCGGCUCCACACUGACGCUGAGGCACGAAAGCGUGGGUAUCGAACAGGAUUAGAUACCCGCGUA